This 442-nucleotide ribosomal RNA is filed under the name uncultured bacterium. Its description in RNAcentral is "partial 16S ribosomal RNA". It matches the Rfam family "Bacterial small subunit ribosomal RNA", at positions 338 to 795 of the family's 1533-position model. The record is from RNAcentral.
CCUACGGGGAGCAGCAGUAGGGAAUCUUUCACAAUGGGCGAAAGCCUGAUGGAGCAACGCCGCGUGCAGGAUGAAGGCCUUCGGGUUGUAAACUGCUUUUAUAAGCGAGAAAUAUGAUGGUAACUUAUGAAUAAGGAUCGGCUAACUACGUGCCAGCAGCCGCGGUCAUACGUAGGAUCCGAGCAUUAUCCGGAGUGACUGGGUGUAAAGAGUUGCGUAGGUGGCAUAAUAAGUAGCUAGUGAAAUCUGGUGGCUCAACCAUUCAGACUAUUAGCUAAACUGUUAAGCUCGAGACCGUUAGGGGUAACUGGAAUGUCUAGUGUAGGAGUGAAAUCCGUAGAUAUUAGAAGGAACACCAAUAGCGUAGGCAGGUUGCUGGGACGGUUCUGACACUAAGGCACGAAAGCGUAGGGAGCAAACGGGAUUAGAUACCCCAGUAGUC